Molecule: long non-coding RNA, 319 nt
Filed under: Sorghum bicolor (sorghum)
Lineage: Eukaryota; Viridiplantae; Streptophyta; Magnoliopsida; Poales; Poaceae
Description: long non-coding RNA (SBIC_LNC006101)
Source: RNAcentral
GGCUCCUAUAGAAAAUUUUGUAUUAGAAAUCCUAGAAAAAAAAAUUAUUUAAUUUUUCUCUUCCACCCCUUCCGGAGGGAGGUGGACAUGUAUUUUUCUUAUUUGAUGUGUAUAGAAGAUUUUGCAUUGAAAAGUUUAGAAAACUUUUUAUUUUUUUUCUCUUUCACCUGUGUUCUGGACGAGGCGGACGGAUAGAGGCGGACAGAUUUUUGAGGGUGGAGUGAAAUGUUCAUGAUUAAGUAUUAGAGAAAAAAAAAAGAGAGAAGAAAGAUUUAGUUUUUGAGAAAAUCGGACUAUGACGUCCGGUAACUUGAGUGGA